CUUUGUUUGUCUGGAUAAUCCUAUGUUUGCCUGUACUCGAACCGUCAACGGUGGACAUCGCAGUCAGGUAUACAUAGAAAUGGUUCCUGACUUUGCCUGCCCAUAUAACAAUAAACAAGAUUCUACAUUUUAAAAAUAUGACUAAGGACAAUCCUGCAUAUUUGCAGUUUUACACAUUGCAGUUCAUCUCAUCUGCUGCUGGAAUAAAUAAUGAAAGCUGUUUAUACCACUAUCCAAGAGCCCCCUAGAGUCUGAAAUCCUGGUGUUUUUUAUUAAGGAUAUCAGUGUGUGAAGUAUUUGUUUUUGUGCCUUGAGAUUUGUGAAACUGUUCAGUAACUUGAUGACUAGCUUUUUGACACCCCAGAAGUAAACAAUAAUUUGACAUUUGAAAUCGACUUGGAUCGACAGACAAGCAUGCCAAAUGCUGUGCAGUUAAAACAUUAUGCAAAUGAUAAACUUGAACUUAAACAAACUACAUGUACAUGUAUCACCUGUAUCUAUAGCUUGGCAAUGAAAUACAUGUGUACUUUGAUGAAUUUGUCUCAUAAUGGCACAUUAAUUUAUUGUACAUCAUGUACAUGUGAAUUGUAUAUGAGAUUUACUUGGUCCAGGAAAAAUAUAUAUACUGAAAAAGCAAUUACCUUGAAUAAAUAUUGUGAACUUAA
This is a long non-coding RNA of Saccostrea echinata, 665 nucleotides long. RefSeq lists it as uncharacterized. The transcript has 3 exons. NCBI's taxonomy places the organism in Eukaryota, Metazoa, Mollusca, Bivalvia, Ostreida, Ostreidae. The record is from RefSeq and is a predicted model, not a curated record.